This 260-nucleotide ribosomal RNA is filed under the name uncultured bacterium. Its description in RNAcentral is "partial small subunit ribosomal RNA". It matches the Rfam family "Bacterial small subunit ribosomal RNA", at positions 26 to 285 of the family's 1533-position model. The record is from RNAcentral.
AGGACGAACGCUGGCGGCGUGCUUAACACAUGCAAGUCGAACGAGGCCCUACCUUCGGGUAGGUGACCUAGUGGCGAACGGGUGAGUAACACGUGGGCAACCUACCCUCAGCUCCUGGGAUAACCCCGGGAAACCGGAGCUAAUACCGGAUAUGACCUGGAACGACAUCGUUCUUGGUGGAAAGUUUUUCGGCUGAGGAUGGGCCCGCGGCCUAUCAGGCUUGUUGGUGGGGUAAUGGCCUACCAAGGCGACGACGGGUA